Molecule: transfer RNA, 76 nt
Filed under: Nitrosospira sp.
Lineage: Bacteria; Pseudomonadati; Pseudomonadota; Betaproteobacteria; Nitrosomonadales; Nitrosomonadaceae
Also listed under: 2 other names
Description: tRNA-Thr
Rfam family: tRNA
About the family: Transfer RNA (tRNA) molecules are approximately 80 nucleotides in length. Their secondary structure includes four short double-helical elements and three loops (D, anti-codon, and T loops).
Source: RNAcentral
GCUGUUGUAGCUCAGUUGGUAGAGCAACUGAUUCGUAAUCAGUAGGUCAGAGGUUCGAUUCCUCUCAACAGCACCA